Molecule: ribosomal RNA, 207 nt
Filed under: uncultured bacterium
Lineage: Bacteria
Description: partial 16S ribosomal RNA
Rfam family: Bacterial small subunit ribosomal RNA
Source: RNAcentral
CGCGUAGGCGGUUUCACAAGUCAGGUGUGAAAGCCCCGGGCUCAACCUGGGAACUGCAUUUGAUACUGUGGGGCUAGAGUCUGUCAGAGGGUGGCGGAAUUCCGGGUGUAGCGGUGAAAUGCGUAGAUAUCCGGAGGAACACCAGUGGCGAAGGCGGCCACCUGGGGCGAGACUGACGCUGAGGUGCGAAAGCGUGGGGAGCAAACA